AGACCAGUAGCCAAGUGACCUUCUCCCUACACUCUGGGAGGUCAGCUGAUCCAGAACUCUGGAGAGCGGGGGUGCCAGGCAGAGGCAGGAAAGGUCUGAGAGUGCCUGGGGUUGGUGUGUUGAGUGGAUGGAAAUAAUCAAAAGAGCUUCUGUGUGUUGAUCACCUCCUCAUACACAUUAGCAAAUUGGCUCAGUGAAUUGCCAUCGUAAGAUGGGUAUUGUCUUUAAGAUGGGUAUCAGCGUCCCCACUACAGAUGAGAAGGCUGAGGUUCAGGGAGGGAAAAAUCACUUGCCUAAGAUCACACAGCAUGCUUAUUCUAGUGCUGGGCUUGACACCAGCUCCGAGGCUCAGCCUGAGGUCUGGACUGUGAAAAUCAAUAAAGGAAACCUCACUAAAAUGGGGUGGGGAGGCUGGAAGGGGGAGUCCUACCACUCAACCCCAAUUACAGGAAGAGUUGUCAAUUACCCCCAACAGAAGAGUCCUUGGCAGGAAAAAAAUCAUCAGUUACAGGCCCCAGCAGGGAAAAGAUGUUCAUGCAUCUCCUGCAAGAAAUCUACUACCCCUGCAAGUCAGCCAAUGAGAAAUUGUCAUCACCCUGAACUCUUGCUCUCUCCAGUAGACUUUGGUUCCAAAUAACCACUCCCGACUUCCUCCUUCUUCCCCAUAAAAUAAUGUUCCUCGCUUCAUUGGACUUGCCUAUGGUCUUGCAGUAGCUUGCAUGUCCCAAGUGGGAAUGCUCUGCUAUUCCUGAAUAAACCCAUUUUUGCUGUUAAGUUACGGGACUUUUAUUUUUAAGGUUACCAGGACCUUCCACAAUGUUCUUUCCAGCAGAGGAGGCCUCCUGCAGAUUCACCUGCUCAGCAACACAGGGACAUUACGCUGGGAACAUUCCAGAGUCCUGGCAUUGUAGAGGACACAGUUGAAGGCCACAGCGUCAUCCAGAAGGAAGAGCUGGAAGGCAUCUUUGGGAUACUUUCGAGAUCUGACAUUUGAUGUUCCUUGGCACAUCUGUUUGUUUCCACGGAGGUACCUGGCCACACAGCUGAGAAGCCAAAGGAACAUCUGAACCACCCUGCUGUUUCCAAAUCCUGAGCUUCCCUGCCUUAUGCUGCCUGUCUCAGCCACAGCCGGGUCCCAGGGCUCCCUCAGUUAGUGAUGGAAAUGAUAACAGUGAGAGGGAGCGUGUUGACAGCAUUAACUCUGUGUUAGGGGCAUCUGCUGACGGGUUUCCCUCCCAGCACCUCUGGUAUUGAUCCGACCCUACGGCUGGCUGGAUUUACACUGCAUGCAGUAGGACUUAGUGUAAGACAACCACAAUCCAGGAUCAAAGGAUGGUUAUUACAGUUGUUUCCAGCGUCUAGCUGCCUCAAACAACGCUGGAAGCAAGCACGCAAGCAAGCCAACGAACGCGUGAGCGCGUAGCUCUGUGAAGCCUGUUGGUGUUUUCCUGCGGAAUAAAUGCCAAAGAGCCUCUUCGGGAAUGCGGGUGUUGGCGUGACCCAGCGCCUGCCUCGUGUUGAGGUACUGGUGCCGCAGAGCUGGCUGCUGAGAGCUAUCAGUAGGGGCCUGGCAGACUGUGCACGGAGGACUGGCUCCCACACACGAGGAAGAAACAGACCACCAGGCAGGAAGGCAAGCGGGGAGUCCACUCUCCCUAGGAUCUGAAGGUCUCCUGUGGCGCUGGCUGGAAGCAAAGUUCACUGGCAGAAAAUGGGUUUGGAGUGAAGCCAACCAUGCUUCAUCCAUUCCUUGCCAUCUGCUCUACCAGUGUUUACUGAGCACCUACUGAGUGCUCCAAAAAGUGAUGGGCAUCUGUGGGCCCAGAGUCUCACAGGAGGCAUGGGUGAAACCCAGGCCUGCCACCUACUCAGGAUGGGCUUCAACCUCAGUUUCCUUAUUUGCAAAGCCAGCCCAUCUGUCAUAACAAUGUAGGAGGCCAUCGGGAUCCUAUCAAUAACUUCUCUAGGGCUUAUCUGUGUUAGGGUCUGUUCUCCAGGAGCCCAUUGGACCUGGGGGUGGCUGACCCGCUGGCAGAUGAGAAUGUGCCAGAAACUCCCUGCCCUCAGAGCAGCAGGCAUGAGGUUCCUGAUAGCCGGACUCCCUGGGCAUGCCCUCCUUCUGAGGGACCAACUCUCUUUAACAGGAAAGAGCUUCUCUACAUCAGAAGAGUUACUGACUGAAAGGAGGGGAGAGCUCAGAGUUCACAUAAAUGUUCCCAGAUUUUGAGCCAAGAUAUUCCUGUUUCCACCUGAAGUGGUGAUGGGGACUGCCUUUCUGGGAGCUGGUUCCGUGGACACCCCAGACUCCAUGUUACACCUGUGAGAACCAACUGUGCAGGGGCAGGCUGCCUCUGCCACAGUCAUGGAGGUGGGUGGGAGGGGGUUGAUCUGGCUCCUUGAGUCGUGAGAACCUCAGGGCUGUUCAGAAGCAGGACUACUGAGGACAAACAUUCACUGGCUUGAAGGAAGAUAAGACAAAUAGAUCAAUGAAACAGAACAGAGACCCCAGAAAUAGACCCUCAUAAAUAUAGUCAGUGGGUCUUUGACAAAGGGGCAAAGGCAAUGCAAUGAGGCAAAGACAGUCUCUUUAGCAACCAGUGCUGGAACAACUUAACAUCAAUAUGCAAAUAAAUAAAUCUAGACACAGACCUUAUGCCCUUCACAAAAGUUAACUGAAAAUGGAUCACAGACCCAAAUGUAAAAUAAAAACUAUAAAAAUCCUUGAAGUUGCCAUAGAAGACCCAGAUGACCUUGGGUCUGGUGAUGACUUUCUAGAUAAAACACCAAAGACAUGAUCCAUGAAAGAAAGAAUUGAUAAGGUGGACAUCAUUAAAAUUAGAAACUUCUGCUCUGUGGAAGACCCCAUCAAGAGAAUGAGAAGAGAAGCCACAGACUAGGAGAAAAUAUUUGCGAAUGACACAUCUGAUAUGAGGCUGUUAUCCCAAAUAUGCAAAGAGCUCGUCCAACUCAAGGCAACAAAUAGCCCGAUUAAAAAAUGGGCCAACAGACACCUCCCCAAAGCAGAUGUACUGAUGCCAAGCAAACGUAUGAAAAGAUGCACCACGUUGUACUCACCAGGGGCGUGCAUUAAAACAACAGUGGGAACUCCCGCACCCCUACUGGAAUGGUCAAAGCCCCACAGACAGACAGCACCAAGUGCCACCAAGGAUGUGGAGCCACGUGCACUCUCUCUCACUGCUGGUGGGAGUGCAAAAUGCUGCAGCCAUGCUGGAAGACAGUUCAGCAGUUUCCUGCAAAACUAGAAAUAUUUUUACCAUGUGAUCUAUUGUACUUCUUGGUAUUUACCCAAGGAAGUGGAAAACUUAUGUCUGCACACAGACUUGUGCGUGGGUGCUUAGAGAGCUUUGUUCAUCAUUGUCAAAACUAGAAGCAGCCAGGAUGUCCUUCAGUAGGUGAACAGAUGAAUAAACCGUGGUGCCUUCAGACGAUGGAAUAUUAUUCAGCAAUAAAAAGAAAUGAGCUAUCAAGCCAUGAAAAGAUAUGGAGGAAGCUCAGAUGGAUAUUAUUCAGUGAAAGCAAUAAAUCUGAAAAGGCUACAUGCUGCGUGACUCCAACUGUAUGACAUUCCGGAAAAGACAAAACUAUAGCGACUGUAAGAGGAUCAGUGGUUGCCAAGGGUGGGAUGGGGGAAGGAGGGAUGAACAGGGGGAGCACGGAGGAUUUUUAGGGCAGUGGAUGAUGCUAUGACGAUGCCUGUAUGUCAUUUUACCUUUGUCCAAAAGCAGAGAAUGUACAACGCUGCGGGUGAACCAGGAGGCCAGCCCUUUGUGGGGAAGGCUGUGCAUGUGUGGGAGGUUUGGGUGCAGGGUGUAUUUGGAAAAAUCUCUGUGUUUUCUGCCAAUCUUGCUGCUUUAAAGAAAAAAAAAGUCUUUAAAUAACUUUAAAUAAAACCUUUAAAAAAC
Ailuropoda melanoleuca (giant panda) is the source of this 3923-nucleotide long non-coding RNA. RefSeq lists it as uncharacterized. NCBI's taxonomy places the organism in Eukaryota, Metazoa, Chordata, Mammalia, Carnivora, Ursidae. The transcript has 5 exons. The record is from RefSeq and is a predicted model, not a curated record.